AAGAUGCAAGACUGAUAGCUUGACUAUGUACAGGUCGCCGAGAUAUGGCUUGACUAUGUACAUGUGGCCGAGAUAUGGCUUGACUAUGUACAGGUGGCCGAGAUAUAGCUUGACUAUGUACAGGUGGCCUAGAUAUAGCUUGACUAUGUACAGGUCGCCGAGAUAUGGCUUGACUAUGUACAGGUGGCCGAGAUAUGGCUUGACUAUGUACAGGUGGCCGAGAUAUAGCUUGACUAUGUACAGGUGGCCGAGAUAUAGCUUGACUAUGUACAGGUGGCCGAGAUAUAGCUUGACUAUGUACAUGUGGCCGAGAUAUGGCUUGACUAUGUACAGGUGGCCGAGAUAUGGCUUGACUAUGUACAUGUGGCCUUGAUAUAUAUGGUGUUUGCGUCAACCUUAAAGAAUGGUGUCUUCCUUUUAGCAUGACCUCUCAAGGUCACACACAAGACACGUCACGUUACAUGGGUAACGAUGUCUACGUGUUUGUCAUAAGCUGUGUAGAUGAAGUGCUCUGUGCCCAAGGGCACUCCGAGGCAAGGCACAGCCGCUGCUGUAGUGCUGUAGUUUGGAGGUGACUGAGAUUCCGCUGUACAUAGCGUGGUGGUGACGUGUAUAAGUGUCGAGGGAUAUACGUGACUGUACAUAUACCUAUUUUCUUCAUGUUCGUUUGAGAUUAUCUGUCAUUUGGGACAUUAAUAAAACAAGUUGAUAUUUA
Molecule: long non-coding RNA, 715 nt
Organism: Haliotis rufescens (red abalone)
Lineage: Eukaryota; Metazoa; Mollusca; Gastropoda; Lepetellida; Haliotidae
Exons: 2
Source: RefSeq, a predicted model, not a curated record